Molecule: long non-coding RNA, 411 nt
Filed under: Taeniopygia guttata (zebra finch)
Lineage: Eukaryota; Metazoa; Chordata; Aves; Passeriformes; Estrildidae
Description: lncRNA (ENSTGUG00000021731.1)
Source: RNAcentral
GAUUGAGUCACCAUCCCCAGAGAUAUUUAAAAGAGAUGUAGAUGUGGUGCUCAGGUCAUGGCUUAGUGGUGGACUUGGAAGCGCUGGGCUAAGGAUUGGAAUGGAUGUUCUUAAUGCUCUUUUCCAAACUAAAUGAUUCUAUGACUAUUGAAUGAUCAAGAGCAUGAGAGAAUGUGCAUGUGGACAUCUGAUUUAAUAAAGAUUGGAAUACACACAUGGAACACUUCUCUUUUUUCCAGGUAGAACUGGUAAGUGUUAUUUAAAUCAGAUACUUCCUAAAACUUUAUGUUACUUAAGGAAACUAUGCAGUUUUCCCAGGUUGAGGCAUCUUUCUCCAUACCUUCUUACAAAAGAACUCCUCUAUUUAAUUAGCAUUGACGUGAUAUCCACUGAUGAUUGUACAGAGUGUUC